AACUAUAGGACUCGGGCUUCUCGUACUUGGGACUAUAAUUUAUGAAACUGAGCCCCAGAUCCAGCCAAUCAUUUAGCUCCUCAUAACAAGUCUAACUGGCUCUGGAAAGCUGAAAGGGCUGCACUGGAAUAACAAAGAUGAGAUAUUCCACACAAUAAUCUGCUUAUCUGAAGCCCUUUCCCUCACAAGACCAAGGAAAAAUCACAGCUCCGUUGUCUGAGGGCAGGACAGAUGACCCAGGGAAACCCACCUACGCCUGCAGCAAGAGCUCCUCUGGCGUGGCAGGGGCAACGGUGCCAGCACUGAGGGACCGAGAGGCCCCGGAGCUGGAGGGCGGCGGCAGCAGCAGGAGCCUGAGAUAACUGACUGAAUUCAACAUGAGAUUUGACAAGAAGAAGAAAGACAGCAGGACAGAGAGAACAGAAAAGGAAUCCACUGGCAAUUCCCCACUGAGGACAAAGACGGCCCCAAGUAAAUAGGAAGUUUUUAAAUGGUUGAGUCCACCAACUUCAGCACAAUAAAGAAGUAAAUGCCAAACCUGACUGGCUGCCGCACCUGAGCCAUGGCCAGCCUCCCCUGAGGACGAUGACAGGCACCCUCCACGUGGAUGGAGCCAGCCGUGCCUACGGACCACUUGGAUUCGCUCUUCAUAAUAAACAGGAUGGCCCUUGGGAGAUCUUCUGUUCAGUUUGCAUGCUCCUGAGCGUAGGACAAAGCUCUGUUGUUUAAGAGCAUAAAUAACAAAAGCUUUGUUCUUCCAAACCAGGAGGGAAACUGUAGAUCUACAUGGUUGGUCUUAAACUAUAUAAGGAUGACAAGAAUGAAAUAUUAUUACAGGCUACCACCAGCAUCCGUCAUUCAAUCUCCUCUCCUGGCUUCAGAAAACAAUGACUCAAUAUGGCCUUUUUCUGACAGACUGCAGCCUUAGGAAAAUACUGUUCCACAUAUUUGGAACUAGGGCUCUUCCUACAUUUAAAUCAAUGGAAGCUAUUCAAAGCUCAGUUAGCUCUCUCUCUCUGAAUCGUGAGCAUAGGAACACAGCUGUUAGUACUCACAUAAUGAAAGUAAAAUAGAAACCAGCAAUGGAAAAAAAAAUCAAAGCACCAUCCCAGGUGCCUGACAUGUGUUUUAUGGCUUGAUUCCCUCAGUAACCUCUAAAAGGUUGAUAUUAUUAUCUCAAUUUUUACCAAGAAUAAGAGAGAUUAAGUAAAUUUCCCUAAGGACAUGGAGUUGAUUAAGCGGCAGAGCUGGAAAUUACAUUAGAAAGUAAAAGUAGUCUCAAAUCCUACCUGUUAAGAGUUGAAUGAAAAACCUCCCAUAUUUUUGUUAAUUUUAUGUAAAUGUGAUCAUUUUGUUUCAUAACCUGCUUUACAUCCCUAAAUAACUGUCCAUGUCAUAUAUAAAACCUCUGUACCAUUAUUUGUAUUGACUACACAGGAUUUCCCGAAAGGCACUUGCCGUAAUUGACUGUCUGUCCCCUAUUGAUGAACAUUGAAGUUAUUUUCAGUUUUCCCUCUGAAUAUGUUCCUGCAUACAUAUUUUUACAUUCAGGUAGUUAUCUCCUUAGGGUAUGUCCUGGACUGAAAAUUACUGGGAAAAGAGACAAUAUGUUUUACAUUUCAGUGUGCAUGCCCUCCAAGAGGUUGUAUCAGGUAGCUACAUGAGUGUGCUCAUUUCUUCACAUUCACAGGCAUAUGGGGCUUAAACAUUUACAUUUCUGCCAAAAUGAUAGGGGGAAAUGAUAGCAGUUAUUUUUAUUUGCAUUUCUUUCAUUAGUAAGGAAAUUAAACAUUUGUUCCUGUGUUGGUCAUUUGCAAUUCUCCCAGAAAUUAAUUAUCUCAAUCCUUUUCUACUUUUGUAUUAGAAUCUGAUGCCAAAAUUCAUUGCAAAUGCCUUCUCCGGCCUCCUGCUGCUUUCUCAUUGUCUGUGCUGGUAUAUCGGAGUCUCUGAUCUGGAGCCAAGAAAACUUUGGCAACAUAUUGCCAGGGUGAUUAGUCAAGUUCCAUAAAACAUGCUCAAAGAAGAAAAACUGAUUAAGUCCAAAGAGAAAGCCAUAAACUUUUCCUUGGUUGUAGGCUUCGGAAGUAGGUCCUCCCCUGACUUUAUCAGCAGUUGUUUAUCUUAUAAGAAACAAUGAUCCAUUCAGACUUAA
This is a long non-coding RNA of Manis javanica (Malayan pangolin), 2152 nucleotides long. RefSeq lists it as uncharacterized. The record is from RefSeq and is a predicted model, not a curated record. Lineage: Eukaryota; Metazoa; Chordata; Mammalia; Pholidota; Manidae.